RNAcentral lists this ribosomal RNA (263 nucleotides) under uncultured bacterium. Its description in RNAcentral is "partial 16S ribosomal RNA". It matches the Rfam family "Bacterial small subunit ribosomal RNA", at positions 335 to 614 of the family's 1533-position model. The record is from RNAcentral.
AGUCCUACGGGGCGCAGCAGUGGGGGAUAUUGCACAAUGGGGGGAACCCUGAUGCAGCGACGCCGCGUGGGUGAAGAAGUAUUUCGGUAUGUAAAGCCCUAUCGGCAGGGAAGAAAUUGGACGGUACCUGACUAAGAAGCCCUGGCUAACUACGUGCCAGCAGCCGCGGUAAUACGUAGGGGGCAAGCGUUAUCCGGAUUUUCUGGGUGUAAAUGGAGCGUAGACGGCUGCGCAAGUCAGAAGUGAAAGCCCGGGGCUCAACC